GACGGACGCUGGCGGCGUGCUUAACACAUGCAAGUCGAGCGGUAAGGCCCUUUCGGGGUACGACGAGCGGCGAACGGUGAGUAACACGUGGGUGACCUGCCCUUAGCUCUGGGAUAAGCCUGGGAAACGUGGUCUAAUACCGGAUAUGACUCCAUGACGCAUGUUGUGGGGUGAAAGCCUUGUGCGGCUAGGGAUGGCCCGCGGCCUAUCAGCUUGUUGGUGGGGUGAUGGCCCACCAAGGCGACGACGGGUAGCCGGCCUGAGAGGGCGACCGGCCACAUGGG
This 284-nucleotide ribosomal RNA is filed under the name uncultured bacterium. RNAcentral describes it as "partial 16S ribosomal RNA". It matches the Rfam family "Bacterial small subunit ribosomal RNA", at positions 28 to 316 of the family's 1533-position model. The record is from RNAcentral.